Molecule: ribosomal RNA, 255 nt
Filed under: uncultured bacterium
Lineage: Bacteria
Description: partial 16S ribosomal RNA
Rfam family: Bacterial small subunit ribosomal RNA
Source: RNAcentral
UACAGAGGUCUCAAGCGUUGUUCGGAUUCAUUGGGCGUAAAGGGUGCGUAGGUGGCGCGGUAAGUCGGGUGUGAAAUUUCGGAGCUUAACUCCGAAACUGCAUUCGAUACUGCCGUGCUUGAGGACUGGAGAGGAGACUGGAAUUUACGGUGUAGCAGUGAAAUGCGUAGAGAUCGUAAGGAAGACCAGUGGCGAAGGCGGGUCGUCGUGGACAGUUCCUGACACUGAGGCACGAAGGCCAGGGGAGCAAACGGG